Molecule: ribosomal RNA, 190 nt
Filed under: uncultured rumen bacterium
Lineage: Bacteria
Description: partial 16S ribosomal RNA
Rfam family: Bacterial small subunit ribosomal RNA
Source: RNAcentral
CCUACGGGAGGCAGCAGUGAGGAAUAUUGGUCAAUGGGCGGAAGCCUGAACCAGCCAAGUAGCGUGCAGGAUGACGGCCCUAUGGGUUGUAAACUGCUUUUAUGCGGGGAUAAAGUGUGCCACGUGUGGCAUAUUGCAGGUACCGCAUGAAUAAGGACCGGCUAAUUCCGUGCCAGCAGCCGCGGUAAUA